CUUGUUGGCGGGAGACUGGGUAGGGGGUGUUGAGCUGUGUGUUGUGUUAGCCGGGUGGAUACAGUGUGAUUGUGGGGCAAGGGGGGAUGUGAGUGGUCCCUUAACGGCUUCGUGGAAAUUGUGGUCCCUUAAGGGCUCAGGGAAAUUGAAUAAAGGGAACACCAAGAUGGAGAGCAAGCGGAAGGCUUCGGCCGGAGGCUCUGGUGGGGGGGAGCCCACUCCGUCACAACGGAAGAAGCCUCGUGGAGGAGAUUGGGAAGAUGAUGGGCCCUCACAGUUUGAAGAGGAGCUGGCUUUUCUGGAUGAGAUGGAAGCCGAGAUGGCUCUGGAAGCGAAGGAAGCCCAGGGGACUUCUGAUGCUGUCCCUCUAGGUAAUCUCAUCUCGUCGGUGCGGAAUCCCAAGUGGCAGAGACCGCCACUUCCCAAAAUGAACCCCAAAGAGGAUGCUUUGUGUUUCCAGCAAGUGGAUCUAGAUUAUUAUGUGGGUUCUCACAUGCCUGGGUUCCCAGGAUCCACCCAGGGUCCAGUUCCGGUGCUGCGGAUGUUUGGUGUCACCACGACCGGCAACAGCGUCUGCUGCCAUAUUCAUGGCUUUGCCCCUUAUUUCUAUGUGCCUGCCCCGAAUGGCUUCCAAGCGACGCACCUGUCUGAUUUCCAGCGGGAGCUGAACACAGCUGUCCUACGGGACAUGCGGUCUAACAAGGAUGGUUUGAGUCAGGCUGUUUUGGCGGUGGAAAUUUGCAACAAGCAAAACAUGUACGGCUACCACGGGCAACAUCUCCUACCCUACCUGAAAAUUACAAUGGCGUUGCCCCGGCUGAUUGCCCCAGCCAAGAGACUGCUGGAACAAGGGCUGCGGUGUGGAGCGUUGGGGACACACAACUAUCAAGCCUUCGAGUCUAACAUUGACUUUGAGAUCAGGUUCAUGGUGGACCAGGACAUCGUCGGCUGCAACUGGAUUGAGUUGCCGGCUGGCAAAUACCGCUUGAGGCCGGAACAACCCGCCGGGGAAUCCAACAAGGAGAACCCGCCCAAGGUGUCGCUCUGUCAGCUGGAGGCUGAUGUGGCCUGGAUGGAUUUCAUUAGCCACCCACCAGAAGGGAGAAAGUGGCAGCCAUCGCCCAUGCAGAUACUCAGUUUUGACAUUGAGUGUCGCCGCUCAGGUAUUUUUCCUGAACCAGAAAAGGAUCCGGUGAUCCAGAUCGCCAACAUGGUCCUGCGCCAGGGGGAGAAGGAUCCUUUCGUGCGCAACGUCUUCACCUUGCAGAGCUGCGCCUCUAUUGUGGGCUCCCAGGUGCUCUGUUUCUCCAAAGAGGAUGAGCUGCUGAAGGCCUGGGCUGAAUUCAUACGAAUUGUGGACCCUGACGUCAUCACCGGUUACAACAUCCAGAACUUUGACCUUCCGUAUCUCAUUAACCGUGCCCAAACCCUCAAGGUCUCCAUUUUCCCCUUCCUCGGCCGCAUCUUCGCCCGCAAGUCCGUCAUCCGCGACUCUUCCUUCCAGUCCAAGCAGAUGGGCCGGCGGGAGAACAAAGUCAUUAACAUGGAAGGCCGGAUCCAGUUUGAUCUCCUUCAGGUCCUGCUGCGGGAUUACAAAUUGCGCUCUUACACCCUGAACGCCGUCAGCUAUCACUUUCUGCAGGAACAGAAGGAAGACGUGCAGCAUUCCAUCAUCACAGACCUGCAGAAUGGUUCCGACCAAUCGCGGCGGCGUCUGGCCGUGUACUGCCUCAAGGACGCCUACUUGCCUCUGCGGCUCUUGGAGAAGCUCAUGUGCGUCAUCAACUACAUGGAGAUGGCAAGAGUCACCGGCGUCCCUCUCAACUACCUCUUGGCACGGGGGCAGCAGAUCAAGGUGGUCUCGCAGCUCCUCAGACAGGCUAUGAAGCAGGAUCUGGUGAUGCCGGUGGUGAAAUCAGAAGGCGGGGAAGACUACGCUGGUGCAACCGUCAUCGAGCCGCUGAAGGGCUAUUAUGAUGUGCCCAUUGCUACCUUGGACUUCUCUUCCCUGUACCCAUCCAUCAUGAUGGCGCACAACCUGUGCUAUACCACGCUGCUGCAACAGGGGGCAGUAGAGAGCUAUGGGCUGUCACCAGAGCAGUUCAUCCGCACCCCGACCGGGGACCGCUUUGUGAAGGCGUCUGUUCGCAAAGGGCUGCUGCCUGAAAUCUUGGAGAACUUGUUGGCAGCCCGCAAGAGGGCCAAGGGAGAGCUCCAGCGGGAGACCGAUCCGUUCAAGCGCCAGGUGUUAGACGGGCGGCAGCUAGCCCUGAAGGUCAGCGCCAACUCUGUUUACGGCUUCACUGGCGCCCAGGUGGGCAAGCUGCCGUGCCUGGAGAUCUCGCAGAGUGUGACUGGAUUCGGACGUCAGAUGAUCGAGAAGACGAAGCAGCUGGUAGAAUCCAAAUACACCAUUGCCAAUGGCUACAGCGCUGAUGCCAAGGUAGUGUACGGGGACACGGACUCCGUGAUGUGCCGCCUGGGUGUGCCGACCGUCGCCGAGGCUAUGGAAAUAGGCAGGGAAGCGGCCGCUUGGGUCUCCAGUCAUUUUGUACCCCCCAUCAAGCUGGAGUUUGAGAAGGUGUACUUUCCCUACCUCCUCAUCAACAAAAAGCGUUACGCCGGCCUGUACUUUUCGUCCAGCCCCGACACACACGACAAGAUGGACUGCAAAGGGAUCGAAACGGUGCGCCGUGACAACUGCCCCCUAGUGGCGAACCUCAUCAACACUUGUCUGCAGAAGCUGCUCAUAGAUCGAGACCCUUCAGGUGCCGUGGACCACGCCAAAGAGGUCAUCUCUGACCUGCUGUGUAACAGAGUGGACAUCUCGCAGCUGGUAAUUACCAAGGAGCUGACCCGCACGGCAGAUGAGUACGCAGGGCGCCAGGCCCACGUGGAGCUGGCUGAGCGGAUGCGUCGGCGGGACCCCGGGAGCGCCCCCAACUUGGGGGACCGAGUGCCUUACGUCAUCAUCAGUGCCGCCAAAGGGGUCGCAGCUUACAUGAAAUCUGAAGAUCCGAUCUACGUGCUGGAGAACAACCUGCCCAUUGACACCCAGUAUUACCUGGAGCAGCAGCUGGCCAAGCCGCUCCUGCGCAUCUUUGACCCCAUCUUGGGAGAGACCAAGGCGCAAAACGUUCUGCUGAAGGGGGACCAUACCCGCUGCAAGACCGUGCUGACGGCCAAAGUCGGGGGGCUCAUGGCUUUCGCCACCAAGCGAAGCACCUGCAUCGGCUGUCGGGCGGUGCUCAGCCACCACGGCGCUGUCUGCAAAUUCUGCUUAGGCCACCAGUCUGAGCUCUACCAGAAGGAGGUAGCCCACCUGAGCUCCCUGGAGGAGAAAUUCUCCCGCUUAUGGACGCAGUGUCAACGCUGUCAGGGCAGCCUGCACGAGGACGUCUUGUGCACCAGAGCGAGAAUAUAAUCGAGACAAAGAGAGAAGAACUGUAUCUAACGUUAGAUGUCGCUUGCAGAGUUCCAUCCCUGCCGUGACUGCCCCAUCUUCUACAUGCGGAAGAAAGUGCAGAAGGACCUUGACGAUCAGGAAGCGCUGAUCUCACGCUUUGGCCCUCCGACGUGGUGACGCUUCCUCUGCCUCUUUGGAACGGACUGAAGCUCUCCCCCCAGCCCCAGGCUGGGUGCCAUUGCAGGGGAAAUUGAUCUUUUAUCGCGGGACGCCAAUCAACGCCAUCCCGCAUUCUGGGUGUAUCUGUCAAAGCCAGGGUUCCGGAAGUGGUGUCAUGCUCAGCCCUGGGCUGAACGAUCGCAUAGACCUGUCUUUGUAAAAUGAGUUUCUACAAAUAAAAGUAUUCCUUUUUUUCCCCCUU
This is an RNA transcript of Sphaerodactylus townsendi, 3827 nucleotides long. It is a transcript of the gene named DNA polymerase delta 1, catalytic subunit, with no coding region annotated. The record is from RefSeq and is a predicted model, not a curated record. NCBI's taxonomy places the organism in Eukaryota, Metazoa, Chordata, Lepidosauria, Squamata, Sphaerodactylidae. The transcript is spliced from 28 exons.